GAGUUUGAUCUUGGCUCAGGAUGAACGUUAGCGGCGUGCCUAACACAUGCAAGUCGAACGAACAGCCAGAAUCUUAGGAAUCUGGCGGGUUAGUGGCGCACGGGUGAGUAACACGUAGGUGACCUGCCCCGAAGUGGGGGGACAACCACUGGAAACAGUGGCUAAUACCGCAUGUGCUUAGCCAUUCGGUUGGUUAAGUAAAGCUGAGGCGCUUCGGGAGGGGCCUGCGGUCGAUUAGCUAGUUGGUGAGGUAAUGGCUCACCAAGGCGAUGAUCGAUAGGGGGCGUGAGAGCGUGACCCCCCACACUGGGACGUGAGACACGGCCCGACGACUCCUACGGGAGGGCAGCAGUGAGGAAUAUUGCACAAUGGGCGGCAAGCCUGAUGCAGCAACG
This 395-nucleotide ribosomal RNA is filed under the name uncultured microorganism. RNAcentral's name for it is "bacterial SSU rRNA". It matches the Rfam family "Bacterial small subunit ribosomal RNA", at positions 9 to 396 of the family's 1533-position model. The record is from RNAcentral.